Telopea speciosissima is the source of this 163-nucleotide long non-coding RNA. RefSeq lists it as uncharacterized. The transcript has 4 exons. NCBI's taxonomy places the organism in Eukaryota, Viridiplantae, Streptophyta, Magnoliopsida, Proteales, Proteaceae. The record is from RefSeq and is a predicted model, not a curated record.
CCAAACUCUUCUUCAAUGAAGUGGUCAAGUACCAUGGGUUGCCUAGUACCAUAGUGUCUGAUAGGGAUGUCAAGUUCACUAGUCAUUUUUGGAGGACACUAUGGUGGAUGAUGGGAACAAAACUUCGUUUCUCAACUGCUUUCCACUGUCAAACUAAUGGUCA